CCUACGGGAGGCAGCAGUGGGGGAUAUUGCACAAUGGGGGAAACCCUGAUGCAGCGACGCCGCGUGUGGGAAGACGGUCCUCUGGAUUGUAAACCACUGUCCCCAGGGACGAAGAUGACGGUACCUGGGGAGGAAGCACCGGCUAACUACGUGCCAGCAGCCACGGUAAUACGUAGGGAGCGAGCGUUGUCCGGAAUUACUGGGGGAAAAGGGAGCGUAGGCGGGACUGCAAGUUGGGUGUCAAAUCUACCGGCUCAACCGGUAGCCGCACUCAAAACUGCAGUUCUUGAGUGAAGUAGAGGCAGGCGGAAUUCCUAGUGUAGCGGUGAAAUGCGUAGAUAUUAGGAGGAACACCAGUGGCGAAGGCGGCCUGCUGGGCUUUUACUGACGCUGAGGCUCGAAAGUGUGGGGAGCAAACAGGAUUAGAUACCCCGGUAGUC
This 440-nucleotide ribosomal RNA is filed under the name uncultured bacterium. RNAcentral's name for it is "partial 16S ribosomal RNA". It matches the Rfam family "Bacterial small subunit ribosomal RNA", at positions 338 to 795 of the family's 1533-position model. The record is from RNAcentral.